RNAcentral lists this ribosomal RNA (492 nucleotides) under uncultured bacterium. RNAcentral describes it as "partial 16S ribosomal RNA". It matches the Rfam family "Bacterial small subunit ribosomal RNA", at positions 29 to 507 of the family's 1533-position model. The record is from RNAcentral.
AGUGAACGCUGGCGGUAGGCCUAACACAUGCAAGUCGAACGGCAGCACAGUAAGAGCUUGCUCUUACGGGUGGCGAGUGGCGGACGGGUGAGGAAUACAUCGGAAUCUACUUUUUCGUGGGGGAUAACGUAGGGAAACUUACGCUAAUACCGCAUACGACCUACGGGUGAAAGCAGGGGAUCUUCGGACCUUGCGCGAUUGAAUGAGCCGAUGUCGGAUUAUCUAGUUGGCGGGGUAAAGGCCCACCAAGGCGACGAUCCGUAGCUGGUCUGAGAGGAUGAUCAGCCACACUGGAACUGAGACACGGUCCAGACUCCUACGGGAGGCAGCAGUGGGGAAUAUUGGACAAUGGGCGCAAGCCUGAUCCAGCCAUACCGCGUGGGUGAAGAAGGCCUUCGGGUUGUAAAGCCCUUUUGUUGGGAAAGAAAAGCAGCAGGUUAAUACCCCGCUGUUCUGACGGUACCCAAAGAAUAAGCACCGGCUAACUUCGCG